Long non-coding RNA from Syngnathus acus (greater pipefish), 3869 nucleotides. RefSeq lists it as uncharacterized. The record is from RefSeq and is a predicted model, not a curated record. The transcript is spliced from 9 exons. Lineage: Eukaryota; Metazoa; Chordata; Actinopteri; Syngnathiformes; Syngnathidae.
GCAAACAAAAACUUCUAAAUUUAUAUUCACGGCAGAUUCAAAUUCGCCAUGUUGAACAUAGAGUGGGAACACACCAUUCACAAUGACUUGAAUGGUGAUUAGAGAGCAAAGUCACCAAGAGUCCAUUUAAUACUCCUUGUCGAAUGUUUUCCACUUCUUCCGAGUCAUAAAGCCAGACGCUCUUUGUCUGGUCUCGUGCUUUACAAACAUGAAUGUGGCCAUGUGUCAAUCAUGUGUGACUGACAGCUGGUUGCCGUGAGUAACUGGGAAAUGUAGGAAGGAGUUUGCUGUCCGCAUUAAUAGACGUCUUCAUGCAGAACAGCACAAAAGCAGCAGGAAGAGGCUAAUUGGACAUAGACAUGUGGUUCAUAAUAAUGACACAAGUUGCUUUUUGUGUCACGUCAAUGAAUGAAAUCAACAAAGGCUAAACUUGACUUAAAGGUCUCCUUUGGGGAAAAAUACUUUUUGUGGUCACCAUUAAGGCACAAAUGUUCAUUUGGGACCACUGGAGUGCCGAGCUUGCUGGAGUUCUUAACUUUUUGUCAAUACUCUGGUUUAAUUGGAAUGAUUGGAUUUGUCCUAAUUAAACUGAACUUUUCAGAUGUUAAGUAGGACUAAAAGCCUACAAAAUUGUUUACUCCCAUGUUGGUCACAGAAAUCGGAAAAUCGAUAAGUAAUUCAUUUAAAGUCAAUGGAAAAUUACUGAUUGAGAAUCAUACAUUCGAUUUGACUUGUGGUUCAAUAGAAAUAUAUAUUUUUUUUUAAAAGACAAUUUCAUGAAAUAAGGCAUGGUCAGAAAAACUUUUUUUUUUUUUUUUACUCCUAGAAAAAACUGAUUCUGACCUUAGGAACAAGGUGUGACCUCUAAGGAGCAUCACAGGUGUCUUCAAAUUUAUAAUCAAUCAGUGGGCCUGUGACUUCUGGACCAGGCAGAGCAAAGAAGAAAGUUGCAACACCCUUCCGUCUUUGUGCCAAGAGGAGAAGUCCAAAGUCUGAGGCGACUGGGGAAGCAGAAAAUGAUGUCCAUUCAAACGUAAGGAUGAAGAAUGUGAGACAGUGGUGCCCAGGCAUCAAAAGAACUCAAGUGGAAGAAUCUCGGCAGGUGGCUGGACUCUGAAGAUGUAGGUCGUUUAUUUGUCCUGCAUUCCGACGAGGAGCGCUAGGAGGAUUAAAGAACUCGGGUGACAGAAAUCCUCCGCUUAAGUAAACACACACACACCGCAGAGCAGGGGAAUCAAUUAGCGCGUUUGUCCGCCUGCAUGGCUUCCAAUCUGGCGACCUUGACUGCUUCAGAGAAACAAUGGCUUCAUUCUGCUUAAGAUCACACAAGUUGGACUCUUUCAUAUCUGCUUGCCCCCCCCCCCUCCCAACUAGAACAGACGUGAACUCUCAUAUUUUUUACAGCGUGAAAGCAGAUGUGGAAAACAACCCGGCCUCCUCCUCCGUUCACCAAGAAACCAUCUGCAAACGAGUAAACGGCCAACUUUCUGUAACCACGACGACUCUCCUCCGCUUGACUGCUCGUGUUUGUUUUCGGAACGCCUCGGCCCGGCGUCGAGGCUAUGGCUACGCUCGGCAAAACAAAUGCCACUCGGCCUCGUGAGAGAAGGAGAAAUGAAAGGAAACAACUCAAUCACAAGAACUGGCCGACCACGCCAUUAGAUGUCCACAUACCACACAAGCUGCACAACCAAAAUCACAAGGCAGAGAGGUCAAAACUGCUGGUCCAACAGAAAACAGCGCAAUGUGCAUGCCAGGCCAGUAGCUGGCACUGUUUUCUUUUUACAAUUUUCCAAAUAAGUAUUUUUUUACUCGCCAUGUUGUCAUCUCUAUGUGAAACCAAAUAGUUGACUUGAUUUGUUGAGGUAUUUGCUCAUAAUUUUAAAGUUCUGCAAAAUCUUCCAGAGCCUUAUAAUAAUUUAAAAUAUAAUUUAAGAAUCAAUCUCUGCCUUUUGAUGAACUCUUAAGGCUCUUUGCAAGUCAAAAUAUAUAUUUUUUGCUAUGUAUUAAACAGAAGAAUUUAGCUCGAGACAAAAUGCAGACAUCUCAGCAUAGAUCUGCUCAUAAUAAUGUCACCAGAGCUCCGAUCUGUGCCGUUCCAGAAUGUGCACGGCGAGCACUCUUUCUAGAAAUGUCAUGCUCUUUACCUUCCUACUGAAGCGCAGUGUUUAUACUACACGCUCAGGGGAGGUACUUGGAGACACACUUUAUGACUUACAAAAGGAGUGGCAAACCCUAAAGCCUCAAUUUGGGGGCUGGGGGCGUCGAAAGGAAAAGAAGUUCCCCUCUGGUGAGCAUGCCGAGGCUCGUGUCGUUUUGCUUCUAGAAUUCUUCAGGUGUCAUGAUGACUUGUAAAGGUGCUGUCAGUGAAAAAUGACACCAUAGUAAGCAGAAAAAAGAAGACACUGCAGACUAUACAUUACCAUUAAUUCUACCCCAAAAUCGGUAAGGACAUUACAUAAUCAAAGUUGUACAUUUACGAGAAAAGGGGGAAAGAACUAUGUUUAGUACUAUAAUUAUAUUGCUUAAACACAGACUUGUCUAAAUGAAAUAUUUUUGCAAGCCACAAUAUUUAAGCCAAAACCAUUAAAGAGCCCUUCAACUGCAAUUUUCUGAGCAUAAAGUGUAGCCAAUUAAUCCUUCUUAAAAAAUGGAUAACUUCCCGUAAAUGCCAAGGCCAUAAGUAGCAUAAAAUACAGUACAGCUGAGUGCAGUAAAGUCAUUCAGUGAAACAUAAUCAACGAGAUUCGACCACAUUCCACAUUUGUGACGGGAAUAGAUUUGACCCCUGCAGGCUUGCGUUUUGCUACUGAACUCUCAUAAAAUAAAAAAACCUCUAUAGCCAAGCAAAUCGGACAAAAGAUGCUGGCUGAUGCGUUAAGAGUACCUCGGUGUCCGCAGCACUUUCGGUCGACCCUCAUGAUUAAGCGGCGGGGGGCUUCACUCGACAGGCUGGCCCCCCCGCAGCAUCUUGUUCUACGUACAGCCACCCCACCUCACCUCACCUCACCACCACCUCCGAAAAACUUAAUUAAAUUGCUGAGGCAGCGAGUCAGGAAUGUUUGCUUUCCUCUCUCUCAGCCCGACUGUCUCUGCGCGUUCUUUGCAUUUCUCAGCCUUCUGUUUCUUCUUCUUCGGCAAUCCUUGUCAUAACAGGAAGACUUUUGGUUUUAUGAAACGGAGUUCCAUUCAUGAAGGUUCUUGACAUCACUUUUGCAUGAAAUGUGGUCUUCUUGUUGCUGCCACCGAAGAACCAACCAAGAAUAUGAAAUGAUAUCCAAGUAAGCAUGUGUGACGGUGCGUGGAUGUAAAACGCUUACCUUUUACGAUGAAGUUGAAAUAAAUAAACCAAUCCCUGCGGGAUACACGCCCGACUCCAAACUUUGCAUCCAAACUUUGCGCGUAAACACAACGGCGUUGCGCGUCCUUCCACGCGGCAAAUCUCCACGACGCGCCAGUCUUCGUGUUUACUCUUUGACUUUCCUCAUCCAAACUGCGAAAUUUUCGCCUUCACUCUACACACAGGGAAACACUUGGAGGAGGAGGUGCACAGAGGAACCGCGAGGCGGAGACUAUACCUGCGUGGGAGUCGGGAACUACGAAUUUUUGAGAUGUCCUACUUUGUGAGCGGUCAUUGAAUACAGCUUGGAUCGACCGACAACUGUCCCGAUUAUUUCAACAAGUGAGUCCAGGCAUCUUGAGCUUCAUCCAGAAACUUAGCAGCUGCUCAGGGGAUGCCAGGAUGGAGGUGGCCGUAGGGCAGCGCGUGGCUAGCCACUCCAUGAUGACCAUGGUCUUGAUGGUCAGGUUGAGGUAGGUGUCCCUGAAGUCACUCUGGAUCAGAUCGCCGUGCAGCUCGCUCUCCUGCC